Molecule: long non-coding RNA, 378 nt
Organism: Mus musculus (house mouse)
Lineage: Eukaryota; Metazoa; Chordata; Mammalia; Rodentia; Muridae
Product: predicted gene, 39336
Exons: 3
Source: RefSeq, a predicted model, not a curated record
CUUGCUGCUCUGUGGUGGUGCUUUGCAUUUUAAGAUUCCAUGGGUGGAUUCUGGAGAACCUCAAGAGCUCUAAAGGGCAGACAUGGCAGCUGUUGUGUCCACAUUGAAUCAAUCUUCUGCUGCUGAUUUCCACUAUUAAUUUGGAUCUUCUGAUUGGCUUAUUGAGAAUGGGUGGUCAAAUCUGGCUUGGGACAUGGGCUGCAACCCCCAGCUUUGAUACUAAUAAGACUGUACAUGAAGAGAGACAGAAUGUGGCUUAGCAGAUUCAUAUAGAUGUGAGGAGCCUAGCCACAUGUUCUCACCACUGUGAAGACACAGGCCUUUUCCUGCAUGACGCACUGUAUCUCCUUAAACUGUAACCCAUAAUAAAUCCUACCU